GCUUGCUGGGUGGAUUAGUGGCGAACGGGUGAGUAACACGUGAGUAACCUGCCCUUAACUCUGGGAUAAGCCUGGGAAACUGGGUCUAAUACCGGAUAGGAGCGUCUACCGCAUGGUGGGUGUUGGAAAGAUUUAUCGGUUUUGGAUGGACUCGCGGCCUAUCAGCUUGUUGGUGAGGUAAUGGCUCACCAAGGCGACGACGGGUAGCCGGCCUGAGAGGGUGACCGGCCACACUGGGACUGAGACACGGCCCAGACUCCUACGGGAGGCAGCAGUGGGGAAUAUUGCACAAUGGGCGCAAGCCUGAUGCAGCGACGCCGCGUGAGGGAUGACGGCCUUCGGGUUGUAAACCUCUUUCAGUAGGGAAGAAGCGAAAGUGACGGUACCUGCAGAAGAAGCACCGGCUAACUACGUGCCAGCAGCCGCGGUAAUACGUAGGGUGCGAGCGUUAUCCGGAAUUAUUGGGCGUAAAGAGCUCGUAGGCGGUUUGUCACGUCUGUCGUGAAAGUCCGGGGCUUAACCCCGGAUCUGCGGUGGGUACGGGCAGACUAGAGUGCAGUAGGGGAGACUGGAAUUCCUGGUGUAGCGGUGGAAUGCGCAGAUAUCAGGAGGAACACCGAUGGCGAAGGCAGGUCUCUGGGCUGUAACUGACGCUGAGGAGCGAAAGCAUGGGGAGCGAACAGGAUUAGAUACCCUGGUAGUCCAUGCCGUAAACGUUGGGCACUAGGUGUGGGGACCAUUCCACGGUUUCCGCGCCGCAGCUAACGCAUUAAGUGCCCCGCCUGGGGAGUACGGCCGCAAGGCUAAAACUCAAAGGAAUUGACGGGGGCCCGCACAAGCGGCGGAGCAUGCGGAUUAAUUCGAUGCAACGCGAAGAACCUUACCAAGGCUUGACAUGUUCUCGAUCGCCGUAGAGAUACGGUUUCCCCUUU
Molecule: ribosomal RNA, 932 nt
Filed under: Micrococcus luteus
Lineage: Bacteria; Bacillati; Actinomycetota; Actinomycetes; Micrococcales; Micrococcaceae
Description: bacterial SSU rRNA
Rfam family: Bacterial small subunit ribosomal RNA
Source: RNAcentral